AAAUGUGUGAGUGUACCCUGCCGUUGCAGCGUCUUCAGUGUGAUAAACAUUUUCACUGAUCAAAGGUUCCUCUAGGACACGUAAGCGAUGUGGGCUCUGCGCUGCCAACCGUCUCUGAGACAGCCUUGACAAUUUGACCUCAAAUCGGGUGGGACUACCCGCUGAACUUAAGCAUAUCAAUAAGCGGAGGAAAAAAAACUAACAAGGAUUCCCCUAGUAACGGCGAGUGAAGAGGGAAAAGCUCAAAUUUCGAAUCUGUCGUCUUUGGCGAUCGAGUUGUAAUCUAGAGAAGUGUUUUCUGCCUUGGACCACGCAUAAAUUCCCUGGAACGGGGUGUCAAAGAGGGUGAGAAUCCCGUUUGCGGUGUGGACUACCAUGGGCUCUGUGAUACACUCUCAACGAGUCGAGUUGUUUGGGAAUGCAGCUCAAAAUGGGUGGUAAAUUCCAUCUAAAGCUAAAUACUGGCGAGAGACCGAUAGCGAACAAGUACCGUGAGGGAAAGAUGAAAAGCACUUUGGAAAGAGAGUGAAACAGUACGUGAAAUUGUUGAAAGGGAAGCGUUUGAAGUCAGUCACGUCGCCUGGGACUCAGCCUUGCUUUUGCCUGGUGUACUUCCCAGUGGACGGGUCAGCAUCGGUUUCGACCGUGGGAGAAAGACUUGGGGAAUGUGGCUCUUUGGAGUGUUAUAGCCUCUUGUUGUAUGUCACGGUUGGGACUGAGGAUCGCAGCGCGCCUUACGGCCGGGGUUCGCGCCCUCGGUACGCGCUUAGGAUGCUGGCAUAAGU
RNAcentral lists this ribosomal RNA (785 nucleotides) under uncultured Sebacinaceae. RNAcentral describes it as "eukaryotic LSU rRNA". The stretch from base 135 to 785 matches the Rfam family "Eukaryotic large subunit ribosomal RNA", at positions 1 to 635 of the family's 3401-position model. Lineage: Eukaryota; Fungi; Basidiomycota; Agaricomycetes; Sebacinales; Sebacinaceae. The record is from RNAcentral.